This 494-nucleotide ribosomal RNA is filed under the name uncultured bacterium. Its description in RNAcentral is "partial 16S ribosomal RNA". It matches the Rfam family "Bacterial small subunit ribosomal RNA", at positions 28 to 507 of the family's 1533-position model. The record is from RNAcentral.
GACGAACGCUGGCGGCGCGCUUAACACAUGCAAGUCGAACGGAAAGGCCUGCUUUCCCUUGUGGAUUGCGGGUACUCGAGUGGCGAACGGGGGAGUACCACGUGAGUUAUCUGCCCCCAACUUGGGUAUAAGCCUGGGAAACUGGGUCUAAUUCCCGAUAGUACUGCAGGGUGGUGCCUGUGUUGGAACACGAUUUUCUAGUGGUUGGGGAUGAGCUCGCGGCCUAUCAGCUUGUUGGUGGGGUAAUGGCCUACCAAGGCGGCGACGGGUAGCCGGCCUGAGAGGGUGGACGGCGACAUUGGGACUGAGACACGGCCCAGACUCCUAGGGGAGGCAGCAGGGGGGAAUAUUGCAGAAUGGGCGGAAGCCUGAUGCAGCGACGCCGCGUGGGGGAUGACGGCCUUCGGGUUGUAUACUCCUUUCGACCGAGAGGAAGCCACCUGGUUGGAAGGGUGGUGACGGUAGUGGUAGAAGAAGCACCGGCUAACUACGUG